Erpetoichthys calabaricus (reedfish) is the source of this 158-nucleotide small nuclear RNA. Its record names the gene U1. It matches the Rfam family "U1 spliceosomal RNA". Rfam says of the family: U1 is a small nuclear RNA (snRNA) component of the spliceosome (involved in pre-mRNA splicing). Its 5' end forms complementary base pairs with the 5' splice junction, thus defining the 5' donor site of an intron. There are significant differences in sequence and secondary structure between metazoan and yeast U1 snRNAs, the latter being much longer (568 nucleotides as compared to 164 nucleotides in human). The record is from Ensembl. Lineage: Eukaryota; Metazoa; Chordata; Cladistia; Polypteriformes; Polypteridae.
AGAAGUUAGGGGAGAUACCAUAUUCAUUAAGCUGGUUCUCCCAGGGCGAGGCUCAUCCAUUGCACUCCGGGUAUGCUGACCCCUGUGAUUUCCCCAAAUGCGGGAAACUUGACUGCAUAAUUUGUGGUAGUGGGGGACUGCGUUCGCGCUCUCUCCUG